UCCGAAGGGGGCAAGCGUUGUUCGGAUUUACUGGGCGUAAAGGGCGCGUAGGCGGAUCUGCAAGUCAGAGGUGAAAGCCCUGGGCUCAACCCGGGAAUGGCCUUUGAGACUGCAAGUCUUGAGUGCGAGAGAGGGUGGCGGAAUACCCAGUGUAGAGGUGAAAUUCGUAGAUAUUGGGUAGAACACCGGUGGCGAAGGCGGCCCCCUGGCUCGCAACUGACGCUGAGGCGCGAAAGCGUGGGGAGAAAACAGG
RNAcentral lists this ribosomal RNA (253 nucleotides) under uncultured bacterium. Its description in RNAcentral is "partial 16S ribosomal RNA". It matches the Rfam family "Bacterial small subunit ribosomal RNA", at positions 524 to 776 of the family's 1533-position model. The record is from RNAcentral.